UGUAGGAGUGAGCCUGCUCGCGAUAGCGGUCUGUCAGAUACAUCAUUGACUGAUCCAACGCUAUCGCGAGCAGGCUCACUCCUACA
This 86-nucleotide unclassified non-coding RNA is filed under the name Pseudomonas granadensis. The record is from RNAcentral. Lineage: Bacteria; Pseudomonadati; Pseudomonadota; Gammaproteobacteria; Pseudomonadales; Pseudomonadaceae.